CCAAUAGCGUAUAUUAAAGUUGUUGCAGUUAAAAAGCUCGUAGUUGAAUUUUAGGCCUGGCCGGAUGGUCCGUCUUUGGCGAGUACUGUUCUGUCGUCGGGUCUAUCCUUCUGGUGAGCCGGUAUGCCCUUUAUUGGGUGUGUCGGGGAACCAGGACCAUUACCUUGAAAAAAUUAGAGUGUUUAAAGCGGGCAUUUGCUUGAAUAGAUUAGCAGGGAAUAAUAGAAUUGGACGUUGGUUCUAUUUUGUUGGUUUUAGGACCACCGUAAUGAUUAAUAGGGAUAGUUGGGGGCAUUAGUAUUCAAUUGUCAGAGGUGAAAUUCUUGGAUUUAUUGAAGACUAACUAUUGCGAAAGCAUUUGCCAAGGAUGUUUUCAUUAAUCAAGAACGAAAGUUAGGGGAUCGAAGACGAUCAGAUACCGUCGUAGUCUUAACCAUAAACUAUGCCGACUAGGAAUCGGGCGACGUUAUUUCAUGACUCGCUCGGCGCCUUAUG
This 495-nucleotide unclassified non-coding RNA is filed under the name uncultured Archaeospora. RNAcentral describes it as "SSU rRNA". It matches the Rfam family "Eukaryotic small subunit ribosomal RNA", at positions 591 to 1092 of the family's 1831-position model. Lineage: Eukaryota; Fungi; Glomeromycota; Glomeromycetes; Archaeosporales; Archaeosporaceae. The record is from RNAcentral.